Molecule: ribosomal RNA, 1064 nt
Filed under: Rothia sp. HMSC069C03
Lineage: Bacteria; Bacillati; Actinomycetota; Actinomycetes; Micrococcales; Micrococcaceae
Description: bacterial LSU rRNA
Rfam family: Bacterial large subunit ribosomal RNA
Source: RNAcentral
AAGGUUAAGAGGAUUGGUUAGCCCUUUUUGGGCGAAGCUGAGAAUUUAAGCCCCAGUAAACGGCGGUGGUAACUAUAACCAUCCUAAGGUAGCGAAAUUCCUUGUCGGGUAAGUUCCGACCUGCACGAAUGGAGUAACGACUUCCCUACUGUCUCAACCAUGAACUCGGCGAAAUUGCAGUACGAGUAAAGAUGCUCGUUUCGCGCAGCAGGACGGAAAGACCCCGUGACCUUUACUAUAGUUUGGUAUUGGUGUUUGGUUUGGCUUGUGUAGGAUAGGUGGGAGACUGUGAAGCAUGGACGCUAGUUUGUGUGGAGUCGUUGUUGAAAUACCACUCUGGUCAAUCUGGAUGUCUAACUUCGGGCCAUGAUCUGGUUCAGGGACAGUGCCUGAUGGGUAGUUUAACUGGGGCGGUUGCCUCCUAAAGUGUAACGGAGGCGCCCAAAGGUUCCCUCAGCCUGGUUGGCAAUCAGGUGUUGAGUGUAAGUGCACAAGGGAGCUUGACUGUGAGACUGGCAGGUCGAGCAGGGACGAAAGUCGGGACUAGUGAUCCGGCGGUACGUUGUGGAACGGCCGUCGCUCAACGGAUAAAAGGUACCUCGGGGAUAACAGGCUGAUCUUGCCCAAGAGUCCAUAUCGACGGCAUGGUUUGGCACCUCGAUGUCGGCUCGUCGCAUCCUGGGGCUGGAGUCGGUCCCAAGGGUUGGGCUGUUCGCCCAUUAAAGCGGUACGCGAGCUGGGUUCAGAACGUCGUGAGACAGUUCGGUCCCUAUCCGCUGCGCGCGUUGGAAAUUUGAGAAAGGCUGUCCUUAGUACGAGAGGACCGGGACGGACGAACCUCUGGUAUGUCAGUUGUACCGCCAGGUGCAUGGCUGAUUGGCUACGUUCGGGAGGGAUAACCGCUGAAAGCAUCUAAGCGGGAAGCCUGUUUCGAGAUGAGAUUUCCUGGCACUUUUUGGUGUGUGAGGCUCCUUAUAGAUGAUGAGGUUGAUAGGCCGGGUAUGGAAGCGAGGACUGAAGACUCGUGGAGUUGACUGGUACUAAUAGGUCGAAGGCUUACUUUU